CGGNCCCAUACUNCUACGGGAGGCAGCAGUAGGGAAUNUNCCACAAUGGGCGCAANNNGAUGGAGCAACACCGCGUGAGUGAAGAAGGGUUUCGGCUCGUAAAGCUCUGUUGUUAAAGAAGAACACGUAUGAGAGUAACUGUUCAUACGUUGACGGUAUUUAACCAGAAAGUCACGGCUAANUACGUGCCAGCAGCCGCGGUAAUACGUAGGUGGCAAGCGUUAUCCGGAUUUAUUGGGCGUAAAGAGAGUGCAGGCGGUUUUCUAAGUCUGAUGUGAAAGCNUUCGGCUUAACCGGAGAAGUGCAUCGGAAACUGGAUAACUUGAGUGCAGAAGAGGGUAGUGGAACUCCAUGUGUAGCGGUGGAAUGCGUAGAUAUAUGGAAGAACACCAGUGGCGAAGGCGGCUACCUGGUCUGCAACUGACGCUGAGACUCGAAAGCAUGGGUAGCGAACAGGAUUAGAUACCCUGGUAGUCCAUGCCGUAAACGAUGAGUGCUAGGUGUUGGAGGGUUUCCGCCCUUCAGUGCCGGAGCUAACGCAUUAAGCACUCCGCCUGGGGAGUACGACCGCAAGGUUGAAACUCAAAGGAAUUGACGGGGGCCCGCACAAGCGGUGGAGCAUGUGGUUUAAUUCGAAGCUACGCGAAGAACCUUACCAGGUCUUGACAUCUUGCGCCAACCCUAGAGAUAGGGCGUUUCCUUCGGGAACGCAAUGACAGGUGGUGCAUGGUCGUCGUCAGCUCGUGUCGUGAGAUGUUGGGUUAAGUCCCGCAACGAGCGCAACCCUUGUUACUAGUUGCCAGCAUUAAGUUGGGCACUCUAGUGAGACUGCCGGUGACAAACCGGAGGAAGGUGGGGACGACGUCAGAUCAUCAUGCCCCUUAUGACCUGGGCUACACACGUGCUACAAUGGACGGUACAACGAGUCGCGAACUCGCGAGGGCAAGCAAAUCUCUUAAAACCGUUCUCAGUUCGGACUGCAGGCUGCAACUCGCCUGCACGAAGUCGGAAUCGCUAGUANUCGCGGAUCAGCA
Molecule: ribosomal RNA, 1034 nt
Filed under: Limosilactobacillus fermentum
Lineage: Bacteria; Bacillati; Bacillota; Bacilli; Lactobacillales; Lactobacillaceae
Description: bacterial SSU rRNA
Rfam family: Bacterial small subunit ribosomal RNA
Source: RNAcentral